Long non-coding RNA from Bactrocera neohumeralis, 3451 nucleotides. RefSeq lists it as uncharacterized. The record is from RefSeq and is a predicted model, not a curated record. The transcript has 2 exons. NCBI's taxonomy places the organism in Eukaryota, Metazoa, Arthropoda, Insecta, Diptera, Tephritidae.
CGGGUGCCGGACCCAAAGUACGGCAGAGGUUUUAGAUGGGCCUCGAGCCCUACCAAGGUGGUUAGUGUGUCCUUACCGCACUGCCAAUUGGUACUGAAAAUCCUUACCCAAUUUUCAGGGCGCUGAUCGACGCAUUGUAUUGAUCCGUUGUGCUUUUGAGCACCGUGGAGUUAAGCUUUACAUAAGCAGGAUCCCACGUAAAACACGUUUGACAGUUGUAUAGUUGAGACUCCCUGCGGGGAGGGAGAUAAGAAUAUUCCCGCGGUAAGGCAUGCCUGUCGUAGGAGGCGACUAAAAUCCAAAUGCACUAUGUCCGACAUUCACAUGUCUGGUUUAUUGAAUGUCGGCAUGGUCAGAGAUGUCAGAAAAGUGCUAUAUUGAGAUACUAUCAUAUUCUUUGAAUGGGUUUGCGAUUAUAUAACAAACACUAAAUGGAUUUGACGGAUAACACAUCAUAGAGUCGGGUUCUUAAGAAUUCCUCGGAAUUCUUGGGGGCUCGACUUGCAGUAGCUUAAGCGCAAGCUUGGGCUACAGGUCACACCAAAGACUAAAACAUGGUACCACGGGGAGCAGCCGCCCCUGGAGUUCGCUCCAGUCUGCUCAUUGGGUCUUGGCCCUUUGGGGAGAUUCGUGGUGGCUGUGGUUUAAACCUAAAUGCAGGAAGGACUUUGUCCAAUGUGGAGUCGCACUGCGGCCGGGUGCCGGACCCAGAGUACGGCAGAGGUUUUAGAUGGGCCUCGCACCCGACCAAGGUGGAAAGGGAGUCCCACCCUUUUAAUUUGGAACCAAAGUGUAUGUGUGUGUGGCAGGCACUCAUACCUUGGUUUUUCCAGAGUGUAGUGUGGGUGCACACACUUACGCUUUGGGGCGCUGAUCAACGCAUUGUUUUGAUCUGUGUGUUUCUAGUAAUAGAAAACACCGUGGAUUUGAGCCUCCUUAGGCAGAUACCCACGUUAAACCACAUUGGAUUCUGUAUAGUUGAGACAAUAAGUGCCCUGGUUACGUUAAUCUACAGUGCCGGACCGAUAAAUGAGCGCUUUGCGGAGAGCUACUUAACUAUUAAUAGUUUGGUCAUUAAUCUAUCUCUUACAUAUUGACAAUGUUGUGCGAAAGAGUACUUAGAGUCUAAUAUUAUACCUAAAAACUUAAGGCUAUUUGUACAAUUUAUAGUUAUAUCGGAAAAAGUUAUGGUAUGGGUGAUACAGUUUCUUUUUCUACAAAUGUGCAACAGUUUGGAUUUGCUAGGGGAAAUUGAAGCGCCGGAAUUUUGCGACCAGGAGAAGAUUUUGGAGAGGAUAUCGGAGAAGGUUCUUUGAACUGCUGCUUGAUCAGUGUUUUUGGAGUACACCAGAACAUCGUUAGCGUACAUAGUGGUAAAUUUAGAUAGUAAUUCGCUAAGUUCACCAAACGCUAUAAUGAAGAGAAUCACCGAUAAGGGUGAUCCUUGAGGAGUGCCAUUAUCUAGGGGAAGGAUAGAGGAGCGGGUGUUCGAGAUAAGGACACUUAUUUUACGAUGGGAUAAAAAAGAUUUUAUAAAGUUUAAGAUUCGCAGACCCACUUUCCAUUUGGUUAGUUGCCUUAGUACGAUAUGAAUGCCUAUUCGAUCGAAGGCUUUUUGAAAAUCGAGAGACAUCAAGGAGAUGUGAUUUUUAUUAGACAGAGCAUUAGAAAUGCAGAUAUUGUAGGAAAAGAAGCCAUCCCAGUUAGUCUUUUGAUGUCGGCCCAGAUACUUCUUGGGUUGGAUGAAGAGUUAAUGUUGCUGGUAAAUUUUUCAAAACAGGCAGCUUUCGCAAGUUUGGCUUUGCCAUGUACUUUGUUUGGCUUGCCUUAAAGUUGAAAGUUCAGCGCUCCACCACAAUGGAGCCGGCCUACGAGUUUUGCUACCUGAUUGUGGGAUAGAUAGAAUAGCCGCACUUCUGAUGAUUUUUUGGACGCGGGACGCUUCUUCGUUGACGUUAAGGGAAAUAGGAUAGGAGCUGCAACCAUGUAGACACGCAUCUUGGAACUUUAACCAAUCAGCAGAGUCAGUCUGGUAUUUCAACCUCGGGCGAAAUGUUGAAGGAGAACGGUUUAAAGGGAGUCUGUUUCCUUUGCGGAAUCGUUGCGAAUGUUGAAAAGGCUUACGGUGAUUCAGUUUUAUCAAUAACACAAGCCUACGAAAGAUCGUUGUAGACAUGCUCUUUUCUGGACGGCUUUCAACCUCUUCAACGUGUUCUUGCUGGUUUCGUCUCGAUAAAGCUGAAUUUCUUUCAAAAAGAGUGCCGUAAACAGGUCUGUUUAAAGCUAAAAACGCAAUGAAUGCACCAGAUUUAGCUCCGUGAAAUUUUUUCUUGUUCCUGAAACAGAAAUUGUCGCUGCGUGGAACCUGCUUUCAGUGGAGCGAAGAGAUAAAUAAAAAUUCUCCGAAGGAGGCCAUCCCAAAAAGUACUUAAAAAAUAGUUUCCAGGACUGGAAAAAUCGCUGGCAUAAGUGUAUUACAUCUGGUAUGAAUUUCUUUGAAGGCGAUAAAAUAUAUUGAACAAUUAAAUAUUUUGCGUUUUAUUUAUAAUUUUCGGGUAUUUUUUUAUCACAUCUCCGAUACUGGAGAUUUCCGUGUCCAAUCAAUAUCCCAUCUAACUCGUAAAAUCAUGUAAAAGCUUUUCAAUUUAUAUCCUAACAACCAAAAAUUUAACAUCCGUCUCAACUGUUCCGUUAUGUUUGAAAGAAUAUACACAUGCGGUCACGCAAAUCUUACACAAUAUUGACACAGUUAGAUUCCCACGUAUUUCUACUAAUCUAAUAAUUUAAAAGUUAGCGCUUUAUGCUUAAACAAUAUACUCGAAUGAUUUUGUAUAAGCAAAAAAAACUGUUUAUUGUUUUAUUCACUAAACGAAAUAAAUUAAAUACUAAGAAUGAUUUGCUUUAUAAAAACAAUUCACGAAGGAAUGAAAAAAUCCGAAAAAAACUAUUAAAAUGUAGUGGUAAGUUGCGUGUGGCCGUAGGUGUAGUCCAAGUAUAAAUUUCCUUCAAACGCUGGAACAAAUUGCCACUUUUUGAUCAUAUAUUGAGCUUGUGGUUAUCAAAUGAAAGUUUUCUUGCUCAUUAACAGCAAUUUUGCAACAGCUAAAUUCAAUAUGAAGUGUCACCAUGGGCUUCUUCGGUAAUGCAGUAAAUACCGUCAACACUGCACAAUUAGCACUGCCAAAUUUAGCUGCCUUGAAACUGUUCAAAACUGCGCAUUUCAGAAUUUUCUAGCAUAAAAAUGUGCGAACUAUUUUUUAUGCAUACUUUCAAGGACGAGUCAUAUAGCAUCAAAGAUCGAACGGGUAAAAAUGAAUCGUGUAAAAAUAUGAUUUUAUUAAUUGCGAAUAGCUUUAAUAUCAAACUGAUUAUUCCAUAAGUGAAAGUUGUACUGCACUUGCCGCAAUCUCUGUCUAUAUACAUACAUAUAUCCUAUAAAAUUAAAAAGAAA